This 467-nucleotide ribosomal RNA is filed under the name uncultured bacterium. RNAcentral's name for it is "partial 16S ribosomal RNA". It matches the Rfam family "Bacterial small subunit ribosomal RNA", at positions 33 to 507 of the family's 1533-position model. The record is from RNAcentral.
ACUCACGCUGGCGGCGUGCUUAACACAUGCCAGUCGAACGGAAAGGCCCUGCUUUUGUGGGGUGCUCGAGUGGCGAACGGGUGAGUAACACGUGAGUAACCUGCCCUUGACUUUGGGAUAACUUCAGGAAACUGGGGCUAAUACCGGAUAGGAGCUCCUGCUGCAUGGUGGGGGUUGGAAAGUUUCGGCGGUUGGGGAUGGACUCGCGGCUUAUCAGCUUGUUGGUGGGGUAGUGGCUUACCAAGGCUUUGACGGGUAGCCGGCCUGAGAGGGUGACCGGCCACAUUGGGACUGAGAUACGGCCCAGACUCCUACGGGAGGCAGCAGUGGGGAAUAUUGCACAAUGGGCGGAAGCCUGAUGCAGCAACGCCGCGUGCGGGAUGACGGCCUUCGGGUUGUAAACCGCUUUCGCCUGUGACGAAGCGUGAGUGACGGUAAUGGGUAAAGAAGCACCGGCUAACUACGUG